Molecule: ribosomal RNA, 433 nt
Filed under: uncultured bacterium
Lineage: Bacteria
Description: partial 16S ribosomal RNA
Rfam family: Bacterial small subunit ribosomal RNA
Source: RNAcentral
AGCGAACGCUGGCGGCAGGCCUAACACAUGCAAGUCGAACGAACUCUUCGGAGUUAGUGGCGGACGGGUGAGUAACACGUGGGAACGUGCCUUUUGGUUCGGAAUAACUCAGGGAAACUUGUGCUAAUACCGAAUGUGCCCUUCUGGGGAAAGAUUUAUCGCCAUUAGAGCGGCCCGCGUCUGAUUAGCUUGUUGUUUAGGUAACGGCUCACCAAGGCGACGAUCAGUAGCUGGUCUGAGAGGAUGACCAGCCACACUGGGACUGAGACACGGCCCAGACUCCUACGGGAAGCAGCAGUGGGGAAUAUAGCGAAAUGGGCAAAAGCAUGACGCAGCCAUGCCGCGUGAAUGAUGAAGGUCUUAGGAUAGUAAAAUUCUUUCAACGGGGACGAUAAUGACGGUACCAGGAGAAGAAGCCCCGGCUAACUUCGUG